GAUGAACGCUAGCGGCAGGCUUAACACAUGCAAGUCGAGGGGUAACAGGAAGAAGCUUGCUUUUUCGCUGACGACCGGCGCACGGGUGCGUAACGCGUAUAGAACUUACCUUUUACAGAGGGGUAGCCUUUAGAAAUGAAGAUUAAUACCUCAUAGUACUGAAACUUGGCAUCAAGAUUUAGUUAAAGAUUUAUCGGUAAAAGAUGGCUAUGCGUCCUAUUAGCUAGAUGGUAAGGUAACGGCUUACCAUGGCAACGAUAGGUAGGGGUCCUGAGAGGGAGAUCCCCCA
RNAcentral lists this ribosomal RNA (289 nucleotides) under uncultured bacterium. RNAcentral describes it as "partial 16S ribosomal RNA". It matches the Rfam family "Bacterial small subunit ribosomal RNA", at positions 28 to 310 of the family's 1533-position model. The record is from RNAcentral.